UGAAUACGAGACGCUAAGGCGUCGAAGUAGUGUAUGUCAUACUUCCAAGAAAAGCUUGCACUGUCAUAGAUAAAAAACGCCUGUACCAUAACCGACACAGGUGGGUAGGUAGAGUAUACUAAGGGGCGCGAGAUAACUCUCUCUAAGGAACUCGGCAAAAUGACUCCGUAACUUCGGGAGAAGGAGUGCCUUAUUCUUAAGGUUGCAAUAACAAGAUCCAAGCAACUGUUUAUCAAAAACACAGGUCUCCGCUAAGUCGUAAGACGAUGUAUGGGGGCUGACGCCUGCCCAGUGCCAGAAGGUUAAAGAAGUUGGUUAGCAUUUGCGAAGCUGAUAACUGAAGCCCUGGUGAACGGCGGCCGUAACGAUAACGGUCCUAAGGUAGCGAAAUUCCUUGUCGGGUAAGUUCCGACCCGCACGAAAGGCGUAAUGAUUUGGAUACUGUCUCGGAGAGGGGCUCGGUGAAAUAGACUUGUCUGUGAAGAUGCGGACUACCUGCACCAGGACAGAAAGACCCUAUGGAGCUUUACUGUAACUUGAAAUUGAAAUUGGACUUUAUUCGCGCAGUAUAGGUGGGAGGCGUUGAUUAUAAUCUUGCGGGAUUAUUGGAGCCAUCAGUGAGAUACCACCCUUGUAAUGUUAGAUUUCUAACUUUGAAUCAUUAUCUGGUCAAAGAACAGUUUCAGGCGGGCAGUUUGACUGGGGCGGUCGCCUCCUAAACGGUAACGGAGGCGUACAAAGGUUUCCUCUGAACGGUUAGAAAUCGUAUCUAGAGUGUAAAGGCAUAAGGAAGCUUGACUGUGAGACCUACAAGUCGAGCAGGGACGAAAGUCGGUCUUAGUGAUCUGACGGUACUGAGUGGAAAGGCCGUCACUCAACGGAUAAAAGUUACUCUAGGAUAACAGGCUGAUCUCCCCCAAGAGUUCACAUCGACGGGAAGGUUUGGCACCUCGAUGUCGGCUCAUCGCAUCCUGGGGCGGUAGUACGUCCCAAGGGUUGGGCUGUUCGCCCAUGAAAGCGGUACGCGAGCUGGGUUCAGAACGUCGUGAGACAGUUCGGUCCAUAUCCGGUGUAGGCGUUAGAAUAUUGAGAGGAGCCUUCUUUAGUACGAGAGGACCGAGAAGGACAUACCUCUGGUGUACCAGUUAUCGUGCCAACGGUAAACGCUGGGUAGCUAUGUAUGGAGUGGAUAACCGCAGAAAGCAUCUAAGUGGGAAGCCCACCUCAAGAUAAGUAUUCUCA
Molecule: ribosomal RNA, 1242 nt
Filed under: metagenome
Description: bacterial LSU rRNA
Rfam family: Bacterial large subunit ribosomal RNA
Source: RNAcentral